RNAcentral lists this ribosomal RNA (1122 nucleotides) under Triticum aestivum (bread wheat). RNAcentral's name for it is "partial small subunit ribosomal RNA". The record is from RNAcentral. Lineage: Eukaryota; Viridiplantae; Streptophyta; Magnoliopsida; Poales; Poaceae.
UGAGGAGGAGGACGACGACGGCGGUAACAAAAAUAGAAAAAGAGGCGAAAACAGCGGCGUUUCGCGGUUCAAAAGAGCGAGCGCGCGAGGGCCGAGCUGUCGCGCCGCGGCGGCGCAGCCUACGCGGUGCACGACGGCCGACCGGCGGCGCGGCAGCGGGUGGCGCCGCAGCAGAGCGCGCCCCACGCCCGCCGCCGCUACCCCAGCAGCCGCCCCCGCCCCCGCCCCCUGGGCCCGCCCUUGGGCUGCCACCCCUCCGACGCCCUCUAGAAGGCCCCGCCGCCGCUGCGCCGUCUACCGACCCUCUUCAGGACCCUCUGACCGCAUUGGGGCACCCUAGACCCCUUCGGCUGCGGAUAGUAGCUCGUAGAGCAAUUUAGUCCUUGAGAGGGAUUCCCUUCUCGCAACCAGGGCCCUACGCCGUACCCAAUACUACACCAACGAGACCGUUCGGGACUCUCUAAACAGCAACCGAAUCUCUAAAGAUUAUAUCGACGACACUUCCGAUUCGUCACCAGUAGUAGAAACGGUUUACGUCUAACCAAAUGAAAAGACCAACGACUAAAGAAGUUCACCUCUGGUUCACUUGGUAAACUGGAGUAAAAGCUAAUAUGCAAGAAAACACGUGAACUAGGUUCGUACUCCGACCGAACCCGUCUGUGUCAAUCAGCGGAAGACUUUGGUCUACCUCUCGAAUAGUGGAACUAUAUAAACUAGUCGCUAGUUCUUCCCCCCGGCGGGAUGUUAUUAUGUCAACGACUGAUAGUCUUCCACGACCUCGGCGACCCAAAGUUCCGACAAAUAUACCUUCUGUUGCUCGAUCGAUAAUUUGGCGCGUUCCCAAAGCUCUUUGAACCUUCCACCUUCUCUUCGUCGUCCGGCGUUAGAAGAAACACUCGUAUAUACUUCCGGAACGACAUAUGUCAUCAAACAUAUGUGACACAUAACACAAUCGAAGACACGAGUCAAGCACUACACGUGAAGACUUGCUACGUACGCACUACACGGUAAAUGACGAGGGCAGCCUCUACUUAGCCGGUACACUUUAAAGGCACACGAGAUUUACUCGUGGCAUACCAUACCACUCUACGACACACACAAAAUUCAUACGACAGUCGAACC